AUGGCGACCAGCGCACGGGUGAGUAACACGUAUCCAACCUGCCGAUAACUCGGGGAUAGCCUUUCGAAAGAAAGAUUAAUACCCGAUGGUAUAAUCAGACCGCAUGGUUUGAUUAUUAAAGAAUUUCGGUUAUCGAUGGGGAUGCGUUCCAUUAGGCAGUUGGUGAGGUAACGGCUCACCAAACCUUCGAUGGAUAGGGGUUCUGAGAGGAAGGUCCCCCACAUUGGAACUGAGACACGGUCCAA
This 245-nucleotide ribosomal RNA is filed under the name uncultured bacterium. Its description in RNAcentral is "partial 16S ribosomal RNA". It matches the Rfam family "Bacterial small subunit ribosomal RNA", at positions 88 to 334 of the family's 1533-position model. The record is from RNAcentral.